RNAcentral lists this ribosomal RNA (385 nucleotides) under uncultured Methanomicrobiales archaeon. RNAcentral's name for it is "bacterial SSU rRNA". It matches the Rfam family "Archaeal small subunit ribosomal RNA", at positions 954 to 1338 of the family's 1478-position model. Lineage: Archaea; Methanobacteriati; Methanobacteriota; Methanomicrobia; Methanomicrobiales. The record is from RNAcentral.
UCGGGCUGAAGACUCUACUUGACUAGCUGAGAGGAGGUGCGAUGGCCGUCGUCAGUUCGUACUGUGAAGCAUCCUGUUAAGUCAGGCAACGAGCGAGACCCACGCCAACAGUUGCCAGCUCGUCCUCCGGGAUGGUGGGGACACUGUUGGGACCGCCUCUGCUAAAGAGGAGAAGGAAUGGGCAACGGUAGGUCAGCAUGCCCCGAAUUAUCUGGGCUACACGCGGGCUACAAUGGGUGGGACAAUGGGUAUCGACACCGAAAGGUGAAGGCAAUCUCCUAAACCCAUCCGUAGUUCGGAUUGUGGGCUGCAACUCGCCCACAUGAAGCUGGAAUCUGUAGUAAUCGUGUCUCAAAAUGGCACGGUGAAUAUGUCCCUGCUCCUU